ACCCCACAGGACAAACAUUAAUCUGUAAAUGAAAGUGAAAGAUUUAAAGCCAGAGUCGCCACGUCAGUAAGGAACACGAAUAAGACGCUGGAAAAAUAUAUUUUGUAUUGCAAGAGACCCCUUUAGGAAUCAUUUGCUGUGGAUCAGCACCAAAAUGGAGGAACCUGCUUCUGAAAUGACCCCCCCUGUGGGGUAUAAGGAGAGAGGAGCUGUGUCUGAAAUGACCCCCCCUGUGGAGUGUAAGACAAAGGGGCCUGAGAGUGUCCUGAUGGAGAGAGCAGGCUCACCUGCACCCAGCUGUGUUUCCAUGAAGAGUGACAGGUCAAUGGACAAAUCACUCAGAUUCAGAGAGGGACCUUUUCCUACAGAUCAGAG
Molecule: non-coding RNA, 375 nt
Organism: Paramormyrops kingsleyae
Lineage: Eukaryota; Metazoa; Chordata; Actinopteri; Osteoglossiformes; Mormyridae
Source: RefSeq, a predicted model, not a curated record